Molecule: long non-coding RNA, 272 nt
Filed under: Athene cunicularia (burrowing owl)
Lineage: Eukaryota; Metazoa; Chordata; Aves; Strigiformes; Strigidae
Description: lncRNA (ENSACUG00000009996.1)
Source: RNAcentral
UUACAAGAUUGUUCUGAAAAUACCGUAACUUCUGUGAUAUAUUUCCAGAGCAUGAAAAAUUAUCACACAAAGUAGGGUAAGGCGACAGUGCAUCCUUCUCUUGGUGACUGGGACAUCCAUUUCUCCAUAGCGUCAGACUAAUAGAUGUAUUUCCGUGGGUAAAAGGAAAAUGGGCUUCUCGCUCCGAGUCUUAUUUGAAUUUUCAUUUCAUUUGAUUAAGCUACACAGACACAAUGAUGUCCUGUGUUCUUCACUCCAUAACCCUGCAAAGC